GCAUACGGCCAUACCACCCUGAGCACGUCCGAUCUCGUCUCAUCUCUGAAGCUGAGCAGGGUUGGGCGUGGUCAGUAUUUGGAUGCA
RNAcentral lists this ribosomal RNA (87 nucleotides) under Neolamprologus brichardi. Lineage: Eukaryota; Metazoa; Chordata; Actinopteri; Cichliformes; Cichlidae. The record is from RNAcentral.